Molecule: ribosomal RNA, 501 nt
Filed under: uncultured bacterium
Lineage: Bacteria
Description: partial 16S ribosomal RNA
Rfam family: Bacterial small subunit ribosomal RNA
Source: RNAcentral
AUUGAACGCUGGCGGCAUGCCUUACACAUGCAAGUCGAACGGCAGCACGGGUGCUUGCACCUGGUGGCGAGUGGCGAACGGGUGAGUAAUACAUCGGAACGUACCUUAUCGUGGGGGAUAACGCAACGAAAGCUGUGCUAAUACCGCAUACGCCCUGAGGGGGAAAGCGGGGGAUCGAAAGACCUCGCGCGAUCAGAGCGGACGAUGCCUGAUUAGCUUGUUGGUGGGGUAAAGGCCCACCAAGGCGACGAUCAGUAGCUGGUCUGAGAGGACGAUCAGCCACACUGGGACUGAGACACGGCCCAGACUCCUACGGGAGGCAGCAGUGGGGAAUUUUGGACAAUGGGGGCAACCCUGAUCCAGCAAUGCCGCGUGAGUGAAGAAGGCCUUCGGGUUGUAAAGCUCUUUUGUCAGGGAAGAAACACCGGCUCUAACACAGUCCGGGAAUGACGGUACCUGAAGAAUAAGCACCGGCUAACUACGUGCCAGCCGCCGCAGUAA